RNAcentral lists this ribosomal RNA (196 nucleotides) under uncultured bacterium. RNAcentral describes it as "partial 16S ribosomal RNA". It matches the Rfam family "Bacterial small subunit ribosomal RNA", at positions 1305 to 1500 of the family's 1533-position model. The record is from RNAcentral.
CUGCAACUCGCCUGCAUGAAGCUGGAAUUGCUAGUAAUCGCGGAUCAGCAAGCCGCGGUGAAUACGUUCCCGGGCCUUGUACACACCGCCCGUCACACCAUGAGAGUCGGGAACACCCGAAGUCCGUAGUCUAACCGCAAGGGGGGCGCGGCCGAAGGUGGGUCCGGUAAUUGGGGUGAAGUCGUAACAAGGUAGC